GACGAACGCUGGCGGCGUGCUUAACACAUGCAAGUCGAACGGAAAGGCCCUGCUUGCAGGGUACUCGAGUGGCGAACGGGUGAGUAACACGUGGGUGAUCUGCCCUGCACUUCGGGAUAAGCCUGGGAAACUGGGUCUAAUACCGGAUAGGAGCCAUUUUUAGUGUGAUGGUUGGAAAGUUUUUUUCGGUGUAGGAUGAGCUCGCGGCCUAUCAGCUUGUUGGUGGGGUAAUGGCAUACCAAGGCGGCGACGGGUAGCCGGCCUGAGAGGGUGGACGGCCACAGUGGGACUGAGAUACGGCACAGACUCCUACGGGAGGAAGCAGUGGGGAAUAUUGCACAAUGGGCGCAAGCCUGAUGCAGCGACGCCGCGUGGGGGAUGACGGCCUUCGGGUUGUAAACUCCUUUCGCUAGGGACGAAGCUUUUUGUGACGGUACCUAGAUAAGAAGCACCGGCUAACUACGUG
RNAcentral lists this ribosomal RNA (466 nucleotides) under uncultured bacterium. RNAcentral describes it as "partial 16S ribosomal RNA". It matches the Rfam family "Bacterial small subunit ribosomal RNA", at positions 28 to 507 of the family's 1533-position model. The record is from RNAcentral.